UGGACCUGAUAUCAGGCAAGAUCAU
This 25-nucleotide ribosomal RNA is filed under the name Phytophthora palmivora. RNAcentral's name for it is "partial 28S ribosomal RNA". Lineage: Eukaryota; Oomycota; Peronosporomycetes; Peronosporales; Peronosporaceae. The record is from RNAcentral.